Molecule: long non-coding RNA, 1428 nt
Organism: Sorex araneus (European shrew)
Lineage: Eukaryota; Metazoa; Chordata; Mammalia; Eulipotyphla; Soricidae
Exons: 4
Source: RefSeq, a predicted model, not a curated record
GCCGCGUGCGCGCGCGGCCGGAGCCCGAGCCCUGCGGCGGGGCGGGCGGCGCCUUCCGGGCAGUCGCCCCCGCCGUGUCUGGGGGCCGGCGCUGCGGGAGGCCCAGCCGCCGGGCCGGGCCGGGCCGUUGGAGGGGCUGUGGCGCGCGGGCCCGGGCAGCGUUCCCGGAAGGCCCCUCCGCUUUCCGCUUGUCCAGACCAUCGACGAAGCCCUAGACGACCUUCCGUCACUUUCGGACCCGUGAAAAUUGCAUUCCCUCCUGCAGCACCGCUCCCGCCAGCCAGGGAUCCACGGCGCGGCCCGGGCCGCCCCAGGCCCGGCUUGGUACCCUGCGCCCUCCGGGGCUGAUCCCUGAGCGCAGCGCCGGGAGUGAGCACUGCCAGGUGUGGCCCAAAUGAAGAAAACGCUCUCCUUGCCGGUAGAAAGUAUUAGCACUUUUAAAUGAGUACAGUAGAUUAAAGUAUAGAGCCAGAGAGAGAGUACAGUGGGUAGGGCACUUGCCUUGCACGGGGCCCACCCUGGUUCCAUCCCCGCAGCCCAUCUUGAACUCAGCACCGCCAGGAGUGAUUCCUGACUGUAGAGCCAGGAGUAACCCCUGAACAUCACUAGAUUGACUCUUUGCCUAAUGUUUUAAGAAAAACUAAACACGGUAUUCUUAUUCAUGUGCUAAAUUAAGAUUUCGAUACUUGAUAAGGCCAUCAGAAGACCGCGUGGCCGCCCACCAACAAGAUGGUCAGACUUCUUCGUCAAAACCCUGAAUGAAUGGUUUGAGGCUCUUCCUGUUCCGGGAGUGAUCAGAUAUCAUUGGGCUACACUAGCAUGCGACAGGGACGAAUGAAGACAUUACUGGCACCCGCUCGAGCAAAUCGAAGGUCAACGGGAUGGCAAGUGAUACAAGUGACAAGUGAUAGAUAAGCCCAGAGAGAAAGUACAUCAGGAAAAAGGACGUUGCUCUAAAAUAAACUAUGCAAAGGCCUUAAAAGAGAGAGGAAAGCCUCCUGCCGCAGAGAUGUGAUCCCGGGGACCGCACGUGUGUGUGGGCUCUCCGCAGCUGCACGAGCGUGAAUCCAGACCCAGCUAAACUACUUUCGGCAUGGGCAGCUCCUCACAGAAUGUCUCCAGCCUGAGAACUAAGCCGCGGCCCCAUGCCCGCCCAGGAGGGGAAAGGUAUUUCUUUCUCGCCUCUUCCUUUCCGGGGACGAAGGGCGUGGUGACCGCCAUAUUAUGACGACCACAGAUGGGGUUUACAAGCUUGCAAUGAUCCAAUAUCUGGAAGAAAUCUCCCUGGACUUAGUUGUUAAAGUACAGAAAUCCAAAACCUCAUUUCUCUUCACAACAGGUCUGACUAGUGGGGUACUCCUAACAAUAAUAGUGAGGUUUGAGUUGAAAUAUUGAAUGUAACCAAAGUAAAUAGAAAGUAAAGUGAAA